RNAcentral lists this ribosomal RNA (585 nucleotides) under uncultured bacterium. RNAcentral describes it as "partial 16S ribosomal RNA". It matches the Rfam family "Bacterial small subunit ribosomal RNA", at positions 355 to 1375 of the family's 1533-position model. The record is from RNAcentral.
UGGGGAAUUUUGGACAAUGGGCGAAAGCCUGAUCCAGCAAUGCCGCGUGUGUGAAGAAGGCCUUCGGGUUGUAAAGCACUUUUGUCCGGAAAGAAAUCCUUGGCUCUAAUACAGUCGGGGGAUGACGGUACCGGAAGAAUAAGCACCGGCUAACUACGUGCCAGCAGCCGCGGUAAUACGUAGGGUGCAAGCGUUAAUCGGAAUUACUGGGCGUAAAGCGUGCGCAGGCGGUUUGCUAAGACCGAUGUGAAAUCCCCGGGCUCAACCUGGGAACUGCAUUGGUGACUGGCAGGCUAGAGUAUGGCAGAGGGGGGUAGAAUUCCACGUGUAGCAGUGAAAUGCGUAGAGAUGUGGAGGAAUACCGAUGGCGAAGGCAGCCCCCUGGGCCAAUACUGACGCUCAUGCACGAAAGCGUGGGGAGCAAACAGGAUUAGAUACCCUGGUAGUCCACGCCCUAAACGAUGUCAGCUAGUUGUUGGGGAUUCAUUUCCUUAGUAACGUAGCUAACGCGUGAAGUUGACCGCCUGGGGAGUACGGUCGCAAGAUUAAAACUUAAAUGAAUUGACGGGGUCAUAGCUGUUUCCU